GCCGAGGUGGUGAAAUUGGUAGACACGCUACGUUCAGGUCGUAGUGAGGCAACUCGUGGAGGUUCGAAUCCUCUCCUCGGUACCA
RNAcentral lists this transfer RNA (85 nucleotides) under Ectothiorhodospiraceae bacterium AqS1. RNAcentral describes it as "tRNA-Leu". It matches the Rfam family "tRNA". Rfam says of the family: Transfer RNA (tRNA) molecules are approximately 80 nucleotides in length. Their secondary structure includes four short double-helical elements and three loops (D, anti-codon, and T loops). Further hydrogen bonds mediate the characteristic L-shaped molecular structure. tRNAs have two regions of fundamental functional importance: the anti-codon, which is responsible for specific mRNA codon recognition, and the 3' end, to which the tRNAs corresponding amino acid is attached (by aminoacyl-tRNA synthetases). tRNAs cope with the degeneracy of the genetic code in two manners: having more than one tRNA (with a specific anti-codon) for a particular amino acid; and 'wobble' base-pairing, i.e. permitting non-standard base-pairing at the 3rd anti-codon position. Lineage: Bacteria; Pseudomonadati; Pseudomonadota; Gammaproteobacteria; Chromatiales; Ectothiorhodospiraceae. The record is from RNAcentral.